CUCCGUGCUCGCGCACCGAACGGUCCGCACGCUAUCCCCCUCAAUCGAUCUCACCCCCGGGCGACGAGGCCCGUGGGGCGUCCCGAACGAACGUGUUGCCUGUGUUGCCUACCCGCCCCUCGAAGGGGAAACGAUCGGCCCGACAAGGUCCCCAUUCCAUCCGGCGCCUCGCGAGGGGCUGCCCGGAGGACCAAGCAGUAGCCCCCGCGUUCCGUCCGCGCCUCGCCCCUGGCAGGCGCGCGGCUCGGCCCGCGGGGACGUACUGAUCUCUCGGAUGCGGCGCACGCGGAGGACCCGGCGGUCGUCCCGGCCCCGGCACGUCCCGAAAGAACGGAAAGACCGAAAUCUCCCGAGAGACGGCCGCGCCCGGCGCCCUGCGCGCGGGGCGCGCGACGUCGCGGAGGGUCGCUACCUGGUUGAUCCUGCCAG
RNAcentral lists this unclassified non-coding RNA (429 nucleotides) under Chamaecrista eitenorum. RNAcentral's name for it is "partial external transcribed spacer". Lineage: Eukaryota; Viridiplantae; Streptophyta; Magnoliopsida; Fabales; Fabaceae. The record is from RNAcentral.